ACGGCUCAGUAACACGUGGCUAACCUGCCCUUGGGACCAGAAUACCCCCGGGAAACUGGGGCUAAUUCUCGAUAGGUGAAGAACUCUGGAAUGAGUCUUCGCUUAAAAGAGGCUGGGGUUAUGCUCUCCAGUUUCGCCCAAGGAUGGGGCCGCGACCGAUCAGGUUGUUGGUGAGGUAAUGGCUCACCAAGCCUUUUACCGGUGCGGGCCGUGAGAGCGGGAGCCCGGAGAUGGGCACUGAGACAAGGGCCCAGGCCCUACGGGGCGCAGCAGUCGCGAAAACUUUGCAAUAAGCGAAAGCUUGGCAGGGCUAUCCCGAGUGCCAUCCGCUGAGGAAGGCUUUUACCCAGUCUAGAACGCUGGGGGAAUAAGGAGAGGGCAAGUCUGGUGUCAGCCGCCGCGGUAAUACCAGCUCUCCGAGUGGUGUGGAUGUUUAUUGGGCCUAAAGCAUCCGUAGCUGGCUAGGUUAGUCCCCUGUUAAAUCCACCGAAUUAAUCGUUGGAUUGCGGGGGAUACUGCUUGGCUAGGGGACGAGAGAGGCAGACGGUAUUUCCGGGGUAGGGGUGAAAUCCUAUAAUCCCGGGAAGACCACCAGUGGCGAAGGCUGUCUGCUAGAACGCGCCCGACGGUGAGGGAUGAAAGCUGGGGGAGCGAACCGGAUUAGAUACCCGGGUAGUCCCAGCUGUAAACGAUGCAGGCUAGGUGUUUGGACGGCCACGUGCCGUUCUAGUGCCGCAGGGAAGCUGUUAAGCCUGCCGCCUGGGGAGUACGAUCGCAAGAUUGAAACUUAAAGGAAUUGGCGGGGGAGA
This 809-nucleotide ribosomal RNA is filed under the name uncultured archaeon. RNAcentral describes it as "bacterial SSU rRNA". It matches the Rfam family "Archaeal small subunit ribosomal RNA", at positions 85 to 877 of the family's 1478-position model. The record is from RNAcentral.